This 503-nucleotide ribosomal RNA is filed under the name uncultured bacterium. RNAcentral describes it as "partial 16S ribosomal RNA". It matches the Rfam family "Bacterial small subunit ribosomal RNA", at positions 29 to 507 of the family's 1533-position model. The record is from RNAcentral.
AACGAACGCUGGCGGCGUGCCUAACACAUGCAAGUCGAACGAGAAAGGGGCUUCCGCUCCGCGUAAAGUUUCGCACGGGUCGGUAACACGUGGGUAACCUGCCUCUAAUAUUGGGAUAACUCGUCGAAAGAUGAGCUAAUACCGAAUAAGACCACAUUUCCCGCGGGAACAUUGGUCAAAGAUAGCCUCUGCUUGCAAGCUAUCACUUAGAGAUGGGCCUGCGGACCAUUAGGUAGGUGGUAGGGUAACGGGCUACCAAGGCAAAGUUGGUUAGCUGGUCUGAGAGGAGGGUGGGGCAAAAUGGGACUGGGAAAAGGGGCAGGAUCCUAAGGGGGGGAGGAGGGGGGGAUAUUGCGGAAUGGGGGGAAGGGUGACGGGGCAACGGCGGGUGAGUGAAGGAGGGCUUCGGGUCGGAAAGAUCCGUCGGGAGGAGAGAAUGCUACGGGGGUGAAAAGACGCGGGAGGUGACGGUACCUUAACAGGAAGCAACGGCUAACUACGUG